UACCCUUUUCUACGGAAUAGCUCUGGGAAACUGGAAUUAAUACCGUAUACGCCCUACGGGGGAAAGAUUUAUCGGGGAAGGAUUGGCCCGCGUUGGAUUAGCUAGUUGGUGGGGUAAAGGCCUACCAAGGCGACGAUCCAUAGCUGGUCUGAGAGGAUGAUCAGCCACAUUGGGACUGAGACACGGCCCAAACUCCUACGGGAGGCAGCAGUGGGGAAUAUUGGACAAUGGGCGCAAGCCUGAUCCAACCAUGCCGCGUGAGUGAUGAAGGCCUUAGGGUUGUAAAGCUCUUUCACCGAUGAAGAUAAUGACGGUAGUCGGAGAAGAAGCCCCGGCUAACUUCGUGCCAGCAGCCGCGGUAAUACGAAGGGGGCUAGCGUUGUUCGGAAUUACUGGGCGUAAAGCGCACGUAGGCGGAUAUUUAAGUCAGGGGUGAAAUCCCAGAGCUCAACUCUGGAACUGCCUUUGAUACUGGGUAUCUUGAGUAUGGAAGAGGUAAGUGGAAUUGCGAGU
RNAcentral lists this ribosomal RNA (513 nucleotides) under uncultured bacterium. Its description in RNAcentral is "bacterial SSU rRNA". It matches the Rfam family "Bacterial small subunit ribosomal RNA", at positions 127 to 674 of the family's 1533-position model. The record is from RNAcentral.